CAGUCAUAUUACGUUGGAACACCGCUUCUCGUACGAUCACUGAAGUUAAGCAACGUCGAGCCUGGUCAGUACCUAAAUGGGUAACCGCUUGGGAAUACCAGAUGCUGGA
Acanthosepion pharaonis is the source of this 109-nucleotide non-coding RNA. NCBI's taxonomy places the organism in Eukaryota, Metazoa, Mollusca, Cephalopoda, Sepiida, Sepiidae. The record is from the annotation of a GenBank genome assembly.